ACUAGCAAGUAGGCGCAAUUUUUCAGAUGUUGCCCUACCGUAGUUACACAGUAUUGUUGAAACGCACAUCCAUGGGCUACUUGCUAUUGGCCUCACUGCUAUUAGCUUUACGACUGACAUUUGGACCAGCAAUGUCAGCCCCAUGAGCAGGGUCCGAAAUGAACACCCGCCAAGCGCCAAAUGCGGGUAGAUUUUCCAUUUGGCGAGAAUCUCAGAAGGCUAUCCGCCACACUGGCGGGUAAAUGUUUGUACCAAAAUAGUCAUGUAAUAAGAUAUCUGGCAUGAUUGCUCGGAGGAAAUUACUUAUGUUUGCCAGCUUACCACAGACCAUCUCUAGUGCUCCUAGUUUCACGGCACUGUUUACCGUACGGGACAUCGGCUUCUCGACAUCGUUCACUUGCCACGGGUCUGCUGCUAGCUACCGUUCAUUAAAUAGCUGUUAUGUGGCGACAUUUACUUGGAGUAAGCCAACCUUUGAAACGAAAACCCACCGAUGAAAAGGAGGACGAAUCGCAUAAAGAAAGUUUUAUGAGAAAUGGAGGUUUGGAGAUAAAGGAGUUUCAAGAGGCUGGCUACAGUAUGAUGCGGAGGCUGUGGUGAUGAGUUGUUCUGUGUGUCGCUAGUAUGCUAAAGAUAAAAGCAGAAACGACUAAUUUGUCAUCAGAAAUAAAAUUAUGAAGCUGGAGAACAUUUGUGACCAUGCACACAGCAAGUGUCACAUUGCCUGCGUGUCUAUGUCCCGGCCUCAAUCGCAGCCUCUCCUCUUGACACCCUCUGUGAUGGCGCUAAUGGCAAUGUCAGAGCAGACCAGCACGAAGAUGAAGAUACUGUUUAGGACUGUACAUGCCAUUGGCAAGAAGGCGAGACCACUUUCUGACUUCGAGUGGAUGUGUGAGUAAGUGAACAUGUUGUUACUCUUGUAGCUUGACUAGUACUUUUUGUAGCGAGUUUAAGUCUAUUUAGCAGACGUGGUCCAGUAUUGUAGGUAAUUUCUCACCCGUUGAUUUGGUUCACCUCAACAUAGUGUAUAAAUACCAUAAAAUUAUAGGCCUACUGAUGCUGACAUGGAUCUCCAUGCUUUCCUAUGACAUUCUAUUUUGUUUGUCUCCAGAGACUGUUUACAUUUUAAAGCAUUGUGGCACAAUUGACUUUACUAGCCUUAUCGUGUUGAUUCUUAAGUAAACAAAGGGUAGAAGGCUAAUUUAGCACAAUCAACUGCCAGCUAUAUUGGAUAACAUGAUUGUAUAUUUAAUUAUUAUUGAAUUAAUUUGAUGUUUAAUUUUUUCAGUUUGGAUGAGAGAAAAAAAGGAAUCACUGUGGGCUCAACAUAUAGAAAUGAGAAGCAGGCCAAAGAGUUUACACCUGUUGUGUGCACUGGACCACUUCCUGCGAGGUUACCAGGGGCUUGUCCAGCACCUGGAACAGAGGUGUCCAGCAGGCCAAGGCCAGGAAAUACUACAGUACUGCGAGGGAGGCUGUUGUUAUCCGCUUCUGUGGCUUCUUGCAUGACACUCUAACACACCUGAGCAACCUGUCUGCCUGUCUGCAGAGGUCCACCAUAGCAGAAGCCCACAGCUCCUUGUGCUCAACACAGGCAGUACUUAAGAAGUACAAAACCAGAUUUUGGUGACACUGAACUGGAAACCCUGGUGGACCACUUCAAGCCUGUCCUGGAGACCUCUGGCAUCCAUGUUGAAAGGAUCCCUGACCAGUGGACUGUCCUGAAGGUGCUGAUGUACCAAGAGUCCAGGUCUGCAGAAGAUGUCCUGGUUCCGUGUCAACAGGAGCCAUCAGCAUUCCUGUCCUGAUUUUCUGGCAUUGGUUGACCUGGUCCUGUCCUUCCCUGCCUCCACAGCUGAAUGUGAAAGAGGUUUUAAUAACAUUGAAACAGGUGAAAACCGAUUGGCAGUCCAACCUAAAGUCUGACUCACUGUCAGAUCUCCUUAUGGUCCAGCUGUCCUCUCCAGAGAUCAGGGAGUAUGAUCCGUUAAAAGUUGUGAUGCUGUGACACCAGGACUUUGUCAGGAGCAGGAGGGCAGACUUCAUGGACCAUGCACGGUAGAGGGUGAGGAGUCUGAGGUUUAAGUUGAUUAAAAUGAUUAAGUAUCUGCUAGGUUUACAAAACCUUCAAAUUUAGUUUUAUGUUUGAUCCUUAAGUACAUUUAAUAGCAAAUACUUCAGUAGAAUUUUGAGUUCAAAACUUCUUCAGUUGUAUUCAGGCUGGGAAAUUAAAUCUAGCCACAGCCAAAAUUAACCAGCAUCUGAUAAGCCUCUUUUUUACCUGUAUUUAAUCAGGGUAUUUCUACUCAAAGUAAAGGAUUUGUAGACCUGCUUCCCCUGUUUCCCCUUUGUAUCAGGAGAGCACCAGUUCACUGUAUCAGGAGAGCACCAGUUCACUGCACUUCUCAUAAUUGUAUUUUACCAUUGCUGUUGCCCUGUUUACACAUCUAUGUACUCUUAUUCAUUGUAUCUGAUAUGUUUUGUUUAUUUCAUUGUGUGCCCAAUGUUUAGCGUUUUUGCACUCUGUACAGCACUUUUGGUCAACUACAGUUGUUUUUAAAUGUGCUCUACAAAUAAACUUGAUUUGAUUAACCGUUGAUCAAUAUA
Molecule: long non-coding RNA, 2607 nt
Organism: Salvelinus sp. IW2-2015
Lineage: Eukaryota; Metazoa; Chordata; Actinopteri; Salmoniformes; Salmonidae
Source: RefSeq, a predicted model, not a curated record